CAGCCAGAGCCGGCGCAGCGGUCGCCGGCCUCCCUGCGGACUCUGACCCUGAGCCGGCGCCGCGGACGCUCUCGGCCCCCAGCCCCCUCCGCUGCCCUCCUCCCGGCCCUCUCCCGCGAAGGUUCCGAGAGUCGCCGACGCUCCCCGCCGGCGGAGCAGGAUCGGGAAGGUCCAUACCUUUCCCUACGGCCCCCGUUUACAGAUCGGUAGACUGAGGGUCAGAACGGCGCGCAGCGUCUGUCAGGCCACCGGGCGGUGGCAGAGCCCAGGGCCCUUACACGCCCUGACCCCAACGUCGCCCGAGAAAAGCAUCUCCCUGUCCUGGGAUGGGCUCACCAGAUGUUCCCCAGAUGUUUGCUGAUGAUGAGAAACAUCUUCCUCUGGGAUCACAACCACAUCGUGUGACUUGUGGGAUCUCACCUCCCUGAGGAAUUGAACCCAGGUGCAGCAGUGAAAGCAUGGAGUCCUAACCACUGGACCACCAGGGAAUUCCCAAGGUUUUGUUUGUUUUAAGCAGGAAUUGAUAUGGGACAUUUCUCAAAUGCCUUUUUUGGCACGUAUUGAGAUGUUACGCAGUUUUCCUUUGAUGUAUUUUUUUUUUUUUUUUCAUAAUAGUGGUUAACACUUAAUAGCCAUUUGUUUUUAUUAUUUUUAUAAUUUUAUUUAUUUUUGGCUAUGCUGGGUCUUUGUUGCUACACAGGC
Bubalus bubalis (water buffalo) is the source of this 702-nucleotide long non-coding RNA. RefSeq lists it as uncharacterized. Lineage: Eukaryota; Metazoa; Chordata; Mammalia; Artiodactyla; Bovidae. The record is from RefSeq and is a predicted model, not a curated record. The transcript has 3 exons.